GUCCAGGGAUGGGAAUCGAACCCACACUGUUCCGCUUACCGGGCAGAUGUCAUGUCCACUAGGCUACCCUGGA
Cordylochernes scorpioides is the source of this 73-nucleotide non-coding RNA. The record is from the annotation of a GenBank genome assembly. NCBI's taxonomy places the organism in Eukaryota, Metazoa, Arthropoda, Arachnida, Pseudoscorpiones, Chernetidae.